GUGCCCUUUCUGAGGUGCAGACAGAGGCCUCUGGCCCCACAGUAGGGAAGGUCUCAGAGUCUCUCACGCUUCCCUGCCCCAUCUCUGGUGGACCCAUCAGCGACAGCAGCUACGCUUGGGACUGGAUUGGUCAGGCUCCUGGCAGAGAGCUGCAGCGUAUAGUGUUGCAGUAUCCUUUCACGGGACUCCAGCACAUUGCUUCCUCCUUCCAGCCCCGAGUCACCAGCUCUGCAGACCCCGCCAGGAACCAGCUGUCGCUGGAAGUGCUCUCGCCAUCAGCUGCAGACACGGCCACCUAUUUCUGCAGCACCAGAGAUCUGGAAAAGGGCACAGUGCUUGAAACACAGGCAGGGCCGUGGCAGAAGUGGAAGGAGGGGGAUUAA
Molecule: non-coding RNA, 383 nt
Organism: Pelecanus crispus (Dalmatian pelican)
Lineage: Eukaryota; Metazoa; Chordata; Aves; Pelecaniformes; Pelecanidae
Source: the annotation of a RefSeq genome assembly